Molecule: non-coding RNA, 284 nt
Organism: Drosophila suzukii
Lineage: Eukaryota; Metazoa; Arthropoda; Insecta; Diptera; Drosophilidae
Source: RefSeq, a predicted model, not a curated record
UGGCGGGGGGGCGAUGAUCAGCAGAUAGCGUGAUAGUCGCGGCCAUACUGUCCAGCAAUCAAGGCAGAUGCAGCUAGGAGUGCUAGUAAAAAUUUUCUUUGUGCCUUAAAUUAAAAAGCAGCCGGGGUCCCAAUACAAAGGGCCCCGGAAGAAUUUAAUUGGAGAUCUGCUGACAUCUGCGCGACUUCGACAUACCUGCCAGCCCGAAUUGGCGGCACAGCAAACGGUGUCCGUUCGACCCGUAUCAGCGACCAGCAAGAAGGGCCUUUCCCAGUCGACGACGA